Long non-coding RNA from Cygnus atratus (black swan), 660 nucleotides. RefSeq lists it as uncharacterized. Lineage: Eukaryota; Metazoa; Chordata; Aves; Anseriformes; Anatidae. The transcript has 5 exons. The record is from RefSeq and is a predicted model, not a curated record.
AAACAACAAAGUCUUUCAGCAUGACGAACCAUGUGCUACAUAUCUGCGUGCUUAACCCAGUGCAAAAAUACGCACAGCCAGACUGUGUUUUGGCCUCAGCAUGGCUGGCUGCCUGGUCUGGGCUAUUUCAGUCUGAGAGCCUUCUGCAAAGCUGAGAACAGAAGUGGAGGAUGAAGAGGUAACUGACUGCCUGGACAACUACUGCGACUGGAGGCUGUGCUAGAGCUGUUCAGAAGAACUGCUUUCCAGCUCUGCUCAGCUAGACAAGAUGAGGAGAAUGGGAACAAAGUAGGAAUUUUCUCACCCAGAUCUGUAAGCUGUUUUCAGCAUUGCUGAUAUGCAAGCUGCUCUAGUUUUGUUCCAACACAGUACAGACAGUGAUUUGGGUUGCCUUAACUUUGAAAGCUGCCUCUGUGGUGAAUGUGUGGUCUGGUGACAGCUGAGUGCAGUGCUACGGUGACCAGGAGCUCUGAGCGAGGCACCACAGGGCAGGAGGCUGACAGUCACCUACAGACACGCUCCCUCAAGAACAUGCAUGUCAACAUGCAGCUGCAAUCGAAAUGGAAGUACACCUGUGCGCGUCACCACUGGCUGCUGCAAGCUGUUUGAGCCCCUGUAACGCUGAUGAGGGGAUGUCUCUGUGCCUUCAUCACCGAGCUA